This 253-nucleotide ribosomal RNA is filed under the name uncultured bacterium. Its description in RNAcentral is "partial 16S ribosomal RNA". It matches the Rfam family "Bacterial small subunit ribosomal RNA", at positions 524 to 776 of the family's 1533-position model. The record is from RNAcentral.
UACGUAGGGCGCAAGCGUUGUCCGGAAUUAUUGGGCGUAAAGAGCGUGUAGGCGGCCAGACAGGUCCGUUGUGAAAACUCGAGGCUCAACCUCGAGACGUCGACGGAAACCGUCUGGCUAGAGUCCGGAAGAGGAGUGUGGAAUUCCUGGUGUAGCGGUGAAAUGCGCAGAUAUCAGGAAGAACACCUAUGGCGAAGGCAGCACUCUGGGACGGUACUGACGCUGAGACGCGAAAGCGUGGGGAGCGAACAGG